GACGAACGCUGGCGGCGUGCUUAACACAUGCAAGUCGAACGAAGUGGCGAACGGGUGAGUAACGCGUAAUCAACCUGCCCUUCAGAGGGGGACAACAGUUGGAAACGACUGCUAAUACCGCAUACUGAAGGAGGGGAUUGCGUCUGAUUAGCAAGUGGGGGGGGAAACGGCCCACGAAGGCGAUGUUCAGUAGCCGGUCUGAGAGGAUGACCGGCCAAAUUGGGACUUAGACACGGCCCAGACUCCUACGGGGGGCAGCAGUGGGGAAUCUUCCGCAAUGGACGGAAGUCUGACCGAGCAACGCCGCGUGAUUGAAGAAGGUUUUCGGAUCGUAAAACUCUGUUGUUAGAGAAGCGGUAUCUACCAGAAAGCCACGGCUAACUACGUGCCAGCAGCCGCGGUAAUUC
RNAcentral lists this ribosomal RNA (407 nucleotides) under uncultured bacterium. RNAcentral describes it as "partial 16S ribosomal RNA". It matches the Rfam family "Bacterial small subunit ribosomal RNA", at positions 28 to 526 of the family's 1533-position model. The record is from RNAcentral.